This 339-nucleotide ribosomal RNA is filed under the name Ehrlichia canis. Its description in RNAcentral is "bacterial SSU rRNA". It matches the Rfam family "Bacterial small subunit ribosomal RNA", at positions 112 to 486 of the family's 1533-position model. Lineage: Bacteria; Pseudomonadati; Pseudomonadota; Alphaproteobacteria; Rickettsiales; Anaplasmataceae. The record is from RNAcentral.
AAUGCGUAGGAAUCUACCUAGUAGUACGGAAUAGCCAUUAGAAAUGGUGGGUAAUACUGUAUAAUCCCCGAGGGGGAAAGAUUUAUCGCUAUUAGAUGAGCCUACGUUAGAUUAGCUAGUUGGUGAGGUAAUGGCUUACCAAGGCUAUGAUCUAUAGCUGGUCUGAGAGGACGAUCAGCCACACUGGAACUGAGAUACGGUCCAGACUCCUACGGGAGGCAGCAGUGGGGAAUAUUGGACAAUGGGCGAAAGCCUGAUCCAGCUAUGCCGCGUGAGUGAAGAAGGCCUUCGGGUUGUAAAACUCUUUCAAUAGGGAAGAUAAUGACGGUACCUAUAGAA